CCUACGGGUGACAGCAGUGGGGGAUAUUGCACAAUGGGGGGAACCCUGAUGCAGCGACGCCGCGUGGGUGAAGGAGUGCUUCGGCAUGUAAAGCCCUAUCGGCAGGGAAGAAGCAAGACGGUACCUGACUAAGAAGCCCCGGCUAACUACGUGCCAGCAGCCGCGGGAAGCGGGAGGGGGCGAGCGUUAUCCGGAUUCACUGGGGGUAAAGGGAGCGUAGACGGCCAUGCAAGCCAGGCGUGAAAGCCCGGGGCCCAACCCCGGUCCUGCCCUUGAAACUGCUGGGCGGGAGUGCGGGUGGGGCAGGCGGACUUCCUGGUGUAGCGGUGCCAUGCGUCGUUCUCAGGAGUAACACCGGCUGCGAAGGCGGCCUGCUGGACCGCGACUGACGUUGAGGCUCGAAAGCGUGGGGAGCGCACAGGAUUAGAUACCCUAGUAGUC
This 441-nucleotide ribosomal RNA is filed under the name uncultured bacterium. Its description in RNAcentral is "partial 16S ribosomal RNA". It matches the Rfam family "Bacterial small subunit ribosomal RNA", at positions 338 to 795 of the family's 1533-position model. The record is from RNAcentral.